GAAAUGCGAUACUUGGUGUGAAUUGCAGAAUCCCGUGAACCAUCGAAUCUUUGAACGCACAUUGCGCCCCAUGGUAUUCCGUGGGGCAUGCCUGUUCGAGCGUCAUUUACCCCCUCAAGCUCCGCUUGGUGUUGGGCGUUUGUCCCGCUUCGUGCGCGGACUCGCCCCAAAGGUAUUGGCAGCGGUCGUGCCAGCUUCUCGCGCAGCACAUUGCGCUUCUCGAGGCACCGGUGGGCCCGCGUCCAUGAAGCUCCCCCCAGUUUGACCUCGGAUCAGGUAGGGAUACCCGCUGAACUUAA
This 299-nucleotide unclassified non-coding RNA is filed under the name uncultured Darksidea. Its description in RNAcentral is "sequence contains ITS1". The stretch from base 1 to 105 matches the Rfam family "5.8S ribosomal RNA", at positions 50 to 154 of the family's 154-position model. The record is from RNAcentral. Lineage: Eukaryota; Fungi; Ascomycota; Dothideomycetes; Pleosporales; Lentitheciaceae.